UCUACAUAGAAUGGUGGAAUCGGCCUUGAUAGGACCAGAAGGCCAGUCACUGCACCAGCCUGGCACUGACAUUCUCUGGAACCUACGACCAGAAGGCCUGAGGCUUGGAGGCCAAAGAGCAAGACCAGCAUUUCAUCUUGGUCAGCUGCAGGGUCAACUGGAUGGCAGGGAUAAUGCGAUGUUUCCAAUCUGGGCAUACAGAGAAGGCCAACAGGGCACCUGGCUUAGGGUCGUCCAUCACCCUAAUUAGACGGGAAGAAGAAGGGAAGGAAUGUGAAUGAGGCCCAUUCGUCUCCACCCAUGUCAGGCUGUCCUUUGAGCCCCACACAUUCCAAGUGACAAUGGACACUUUUCUGUUACGGAAGACAAUCCCAGGCGCCACUAGGUCCAAAGGUAACAAAAGACGGUAUUUCCAGCUGCUGUUCCAGAAAUGGCAUUUAACCUAAGGAGAGCUCUGGCCGCAGCCAGAGCAGGUCAUCUUUCCUAAGUCAGGGUUAUAACUGUGCAGCCUCGGGAACCUGACUGUUCUAACGUGUGUGCAGGCACGCGUCAGGGCGGCGUGUCUAGAUGCUGCGGUCCCUGCUUCCUGCCAUCAUCAUUGCCUCUGUCACAGCACGCAGGGAACACAGGCUUUGACGGGCAAGGUAAUCCCAGGGGGUUUAGAACAGGAAAGAAAUAACUAGUACCUUCCAGUAACCAUCCCAUCCCCUUCAAUAAGAGGAAGGCAGCACUGGUGGUGCCGUCUUCCCACGCAGAGUCCCAAGAGCUAGAUGAACAUGCAGGAAAAUGAGCCUCUGCUUGCAGCGUUGGGGGAAGGAAAAGAGAGUCUAGAAGAUCACUUGGCCACCUCUCCUUGGGGGUUAUGAGUGAAUUGCAGGCUUCUGUCCUACCCUGGAAUAAACAGCUUCCUUUUU
Molecule: non-coding RNA, 914 nt
Organism: Leptonychotes weddellii (Weddell seal)
Lineage: Eukaryota; Metazoa; Chordata; Mammalia; Carnivora; Phocidae
Source: RefSeq, a predicted model, not a curated record